This 348-nucleotide transfer-messenger RNA is filed under the name Candidatus Berkelbacteria bacterium. It matches the Rfam family "transfer-messenger RNA". From Rfam's summary of the family: Bacterial tmRNA, also known as 10Sa RNA or SsrA, is named for its dual tRNA and mRNA-like properties. Its role is to liberate the mRNA from a stalled ribosome. Lineage: Bacteria; Candidatus Berkelbacteria. The record is from RNAcentral.
GGGACUGUACGGAUUCGACGGAAAGAACUUUGAUGCGGGUGGCAAGCCGAGCAGGUAUCGUUAGGCUCGUAAAAAUUUCGAUACAACCUACAAGUGCAAAUUCACUUGUCGAGAAGGUAAAGACAGCUUUUGCUGGACUUACACUCUCACCUGCUGUAGCCUAAGGGCGACAGCUGUCUCUAUAGCCCUUUAACCUGGAGAGCUAUAUGAGGCAUGACCAAUCAGGUUUGCGGCUUGCAAGAUAGUCCUAGUAGCAGGCUCAAGUAAACAAGGACAUACCCGAAGCUUGUGCAUCUACUCCAUCAUCGCCUUUACCGGACGGGGGUUCGAUUCCCCCCAGUUCCACCA